This 24-nucleotide microRNA is filed under the name Brachypodium distachyon (stiff brome). RNAcentral's name for it is "bdi-miR7743-3p". Lineage: Eukaryota; Viridiplantae; Streptophyta; Magnoliopsida; Poales; Poaceae. The record is from miRBase by way of RNAcentral.
UUUGAACUUUUGUAUUGGAUCUUU